This 545-nucleotide small RNA is filed under the name Pongo abelii (Sumatran orangutan). RNAcentral's name for it is "retained intron". Lineage: Eukaryota; Metazoa; Chordata; Mammalia; Primates; Hominidae. The record is from RNAcentral.
CUUUGGCAAAGGUACUGUGUUUCUCUGAAACUUGCCUGUGAAAGGCAUUUACAGAUUUAAAGGGAUUUAAAGCCUAUCUUCAAGGGCUGCUGGGAGGAGUCAGUGAGAUGGAGCACAUCUAGUGCUUGGUGGAGUGCUUGGCACAUACUUGGCCCUGUCAGCAUUAACUGCCAUCCUCAGGCCCGGGCUCUGUGAGCCGCCCGUGCCCAGCUCCAGUGGAGCGCUAUUGUCUUGGCCGUGCUGGUUGGGCUCCUAUUUUUUACCCUAAAUUUUAAGAAGGUCCUUUUCCUUGUGGGUACGGCUACAGUGCCCGAACCUGGGAGGGAUCUGAGGAGAGUGUGAUUGGGAAGGCCCGUUACAUGAUUCUAUUCCCAGCUGGGUGCCAAGAAAGGCCUAGGGGCCCAGAAGGUGAGCAGCCAGAGCUUCAGUGAGAUUGAGCGGCAGGCCCAGGUGGCAGAGAAGCUCCGUGAGCAGCAGGCAGCCGAUGCCAAGAAGCAGGUGGAGGAGUCCAUGGUCACCUCCAUGCGUCUGGCCUACCAGGAGCU